This 434-nucleotide ribosomal RNA is filed under the name uncultured bacterium. Its description in RNAcentral is "partial 16S ribosomal RNA". It matches the Rfam family "Bacterial small subunit ribosomal RNA", at positions 29 to 507 of the family's 1533-position model. The record is from RNAcentral.
AGCGAACGCUGGCGGCAGGCUUAACACAUGCAAGUCGAACGCAUCACUUCGGUGGUGAGUGGCAGACGGGUGAGUAACACGUGGGAACGUACCCUUCGAUCUGGGAAACUUCGGGAAACUGGAGCUAAUACCGGAUACGCCCUUUUGGGGAAAGGUUUACUGUCGAAGGAUCGGCCCGCGUCUGAUUAGCUAGUUGGUGGGGUAACGGCCUACCAAGGCGACGAUCAGUAGCUGGUCUGAGAGGAUGAUCAGCCACACUGGGACUGAGACACGGCCCAGACUCCUACGGGAGGCAGCAGUGGGGAAUAUUGGACAAUGGGCGCAAGCCUGAUCCAGCCAUGCCGCGUGAGUGAUGAAGGCCUUAGGGUUGUAAAGCUCUUUUGUCCGGGACGAUAAUGACGGUACCGGAAGAAUAAGCCCCGGCUAACUUCGUG